GACGAACGCUGGCGGCGUGCUUAACACAUGCAAGUCGAACGGUGAAGCCUUUCGGGGUGGAUCAGUGGCGAACGGGUGAGUAACACGUGGGCAAUCUGCCCUGCAUUCUGGGACAAGCCUUGGAAACGAGGUCUAAUACCGGAUACGACGCAUCUCCGCAUGGGGUGUGCGUGGAAAGCUUUGGCGAUGCAGGAUGAGCCCGCGGCCUAUCAGCUUGUUGGUGGGGUGAUGGCCUACCAA
RNAcentral lists this ribosomal RNA (240 nucleotides) under uncultured bacterium. RNAcentral describes it as "partial 16S ribosomal RNA". It matches the Rfam family "Bacterial small subunit ribosomal RNA", at positions 28 to 271 of the family's 1533-position model. The record is from RNAcentral.